AUGCACUUUUCUUCCUCUAGGAAGGGAACCAGAGUCUUUAUAGCAUCAGUGAAAAGGAACUCUGUCCUCCUUAUCUUCCUGCUUUUCUCAGUUCAGCCCCCAUUCUUAUUCCAUUGGUGCCUGGAGGAAGUCUUGGUUAAAAGCUUUCUGAUGGAGACAUUGAUGAUUAGUUUGGAAAGAGCCAGAGUGAGUGGUCCCGACUCCUCCCCCGCUUCCCCCGCUUCCAGGAUGUGCGGGGCUGCACCCAGAACAGAUGCCUUCCUUUGGACAAGGGUCUCAACACCUCUGGGGGCACUGCUGGUCUUGAGAUUCACUCCUUUUCUCAUGUUUGGUCCACUCAGUGUCAGAUGUUUUGCUAGGUGACAGGGAUAUAAUAAGUAAGACACAGUCCUGCCCUAAGAUGACCUCACUGUAAGUUAAAAAAUUAGGCUGUCCCUCUGGAUAAGUAUAAUGGCAGUGACAGGCAUGGCUUGGGGGUGGGCUCUGAGACCAAGGCUCAGAGCACCUGCCUUGUCUUAAUGGGCUAAUAGAAGCUUUCUGGAGGAGGUGACACCUGAGUUGCUUUCAAAGACAUUUUCCAAAUGUAGGAGGGGCCAGAAAAGAGCCUUUCAUUGUCACACCUUAUUUGCUAUUUGCCCCUUGAAAUCUAGGUAGAAUUAUUUUACCCCACAUUUCCAAAGCUUAUCAAAGUCCAAAGAGGGGGGGGUCUCUUCUCAUGGCCAUUUCUGCUUCCCUGUGUCCACCACUGAUUCUCUUGGCUAUGAUGGAGCUAAUGCUGGUUUUCGUGCUUUGUAACAUCUUGUUUGUCUUGAUUUUAGUCCCAUAUUUACUGACAAGGAGGCUGAAGGUACUUAUGAUAAUUCAGGUAGCCUAGUCUGUUUUCUAAAAUCUAAAACUACUAUCCCUUAUAUGUGAAAUCUAAAAAAAGCAUACAAUGAACUUCUUUGCAGAACAGAUACUGACAGACUUUGAAAAACUUACAGUUGCCAAAGGAGACAGGUUGGGGGGUGGGGGGAAUGGGCUGGGGUUUGGAAUGGAAGUGCUAUAAAAUUCAGUUGUGAUGAUUGUUGUACAACUAUAAAUGUAAUAAAACUCAUUGAGUUAAAAAAAAAUAAAAGCUA
RNAcentral lists this long non-coding RNA (1121 nucleotides) under Sus scrofa (pig). RNAcentral's name for it is "lncRNA (ENSSSCG00030005824.1)". The record is from RNAcentral. Lineage: Eukaryota; Metazoa; Chordata; Mammalia; Artiodactyla; Suidae.